RNAcentral lists this small RNA (131 nucleotides) under Salmonella enterica subsp. enterica serovar Montevideo. RNAcentral's name for it is "RtT sRNA". It matches the Rfam family "RtT RNA". Rfam says of the family: This family represents a bacterial cis-regulatory element known as RtT RNA. The exact function of RtT is unknown although it is thought that it may be involved in changing the cellular response in relation to amino acid starvation. Lineage: Bacteria; Pseudomonadati; Pseudomonadota; Gammaproteobacteria; Enterobacterales; Enterobacteriaceae. RNAcentral also lists the same sequence under 1 other name. The record is from RNAcentral.
GUUUGCACUUGUCGGGGAAGGGUGAGAACCUUCGAUUAAGGUUCGACUCGAGCGAAGUGAGAGAACGUUGCCAACGGCAACGGCCCGUAGGGUGAGGAGCGAAGCGACGAAUAAUCCUUCCCCCUCCACCA